This 768-nucleotide ribosomal RNA is filed under the name uncultured sediment archaeon. Its description in RNAcentral is "bacterial SSU rRNA". It matches the Rfam family "Archaeal small subunit ribosomal RNA", at positions 587 to 1353 of the family's 1478-position model. The record is from RNAcentral.
CAGAGCUAGGGAGUGGGAGAGGUAGACGGUACUCGGGAGGAAGUGGUAAAAUGCUUUGAUCUCUCGAUGACCACCUGUGGCGAAGGCGGUCUACCAGAACACGUCCGACGGUGAGGGAUGAAAGCUGGGGGAGCAAACCGGAUUAGAUACCCGGGUAGUCCCAGCUGUAAACUAUGCAAACUCAGUGAUGCACUGGCUUGUGGCCAGUGCAGUGUUGCAGGGAAGCCGUUAAGUUUGCCGCCUGGGAAGUACGUACGCAAGUAUGAAACUUAAAGGAAUUGGCGGGGGAGCACCACAAGGGGUGAAGCCUGCGGUUCAAUUGGAGUCAACGCCAGAAAUCUUACCCGGAGAGACAGCAGAAUGAAGGUCAAGCUGAAGACUUUACCAGACAAGCUGAGAGGUGGUGCAUGGCCGUCGCCAGCUCGUGCCGUGAGAUGUCCUGUUAAGUCAGGUAACGAGCGAGAUCCCUGCCUCUAGUUGCCACCAUUACUCUCAGGAGUAGUGGGGCGAAUUAGCGGGACCGCCGCAGUUAAUGCGGAGGAAGGAAGGGGCCACGGCAGGUCAGUAUGCCCCGAAACUCUGGGGCCACACGCGGGCUGCAAUGGUAACGACAAUGUGUUCCGAAUCCGAAAGGAAGAGGUAAUCCUCAAACGUUACCACAGUUAUGACUGAGGGCUGCAACUCGCCCUCACGAAUAUGGAAUCCCUAGUAACUGCGUGUCAUUAUCGCGCGGUGAAUACGUCCCUGCUCCUUGCACACACCGCCCGU